AGGAAUUAGGCAAAUUUCCCCCGUACGUUCGCAAUAAGGGGGGCCUCUGGUGGUGAGCUUAAUCGCAAAGCUGCUGGAGGCCGCAGAGAAAUGGCUCUUCCAACUGUUUAACAAAAACACAGGUCUCUGCUAAGUCGAAAGACGAAGUAUAGGGGCUGACGCCUGCCCAGUGCUGGAAGGUUAAGGGGAGAGGUUAGGCGCAAGCCGAAGCUUUGAGCCGAAGCCCCAGUGAACGGCGGCCGUAACGAUAACGGUCCUAAGGUAGCGAAAUUCCUUGUCGGGUAAGUUCCGACCCGCACGAAUGGCGUAAUGAGAGGAGCACUGUCUCAACGAGGGACUCGGCGAACAUUGAAGGACGUGUGAAGAUACACGUGACCCGCAGCGGGACAAAAAGACCCCGUGAAGCUUUACUACAACUUGCCAUUGAGUUAGGGCUAAACCUGUGUAGUAUAGGUGGGAGGCUUUGAAGCUGGGACGCCAGUCUCGGUGGAGCCACCGUUGAAAUACCACCCUGGUUUAUUCUUGGCUCUAACCUGUCGCCGUUAUCCGGCAUGGGAACAGUGGCUGGUGGGUAGUUUGACUGGGGCGGUCGCCUCCGAAAGCGUAACAGAGGCGCCCAAAGGUUCCCUCAGGCUGAAUGGAAACCAGCCGUUGAGUGUAAAGGCACAAGGGAGCUUGACUGCAAGACCAACAAGUCGCGCAGGGACGAAAGUCGGGCUUAGUGAUCCCACGGUUCAGAGUGGAAUGGCCGUGGCUUACCGGAUAAAAGCUACUCCGGGGAUAACAGGGUAGUCUGGUCCAAGAGUUCAUAUCGACGACCAGGUUCGCCACCUUGAUGUCGGCUCAUCACAUCCUGGGGCUGGAUAAGGUCCCAAGUGUUGGGCUGUUCGCCCAUUAAAGUGGUACGUGAGCUGGGUUCAGACCGUCGUGAGACAGGCCGGUCUCUAUCCGCUGUGGGCGUAAGGGAUUUGAGAGAAGCUGCCCCUAGUACGAGAGGACCGGGGUGGACGGACCUCUAGUGUGCCAGUUGUUCUGCCAAGAGCAUUGCUGGGUAGCUACGUCCGGCAGAGAUAACCGCUGAAAGCAUCUAAGUGGGAAACUCGUCUCAAGAUUAGAUCCCUCAUCCGUAUGGAGUAAGACCGCUAGAAGACUACUAGUUUGAUAGGCGGCAGGUGUAAGCGCAGUAAUGUGUUCAGCUUAGCCGUACUAAUGGUCGAGGGCUUACGUUU
RNAcentral lists this ribosomal RNA (1229 nucleotides) under metagenome. RNAcentral describes it as "bacterial LSU rRNA". It matches the Rfam family "Bacterial large subunit ribosomal RNA", at positions 1708 to 2925 of the family's 2925-position model. The record is from RNAcentral.